AGCAGCCGCGGUAAUUCCAGCUCCAAUAGCGUAUAUUAAAGUUGCUGCAGUUAAAAAGCUCGUAGUUGAAUUUCGGGACCAUCAUGUCGGUCGUGCCUCGGUACGUACUGGUAUUGUUGGUUUCUCCCUUCUGACGAACCAUGAUGUCAUUUAUUUGGUGUUGUGGGGAAUCAGGACUGUUACUUUGAAAAAUUAGAGUGUUUAAAGCAGGCUCACGCUUGAAUACAUUAGCAUGGAAUAAUGAAAUAGGACGUUUGAUUCUAUUUUGUUGGUUUCUAGGAUCGACGUAAUGAUUAAUAGGGAUAGUUGGGGGCAUUAGUAUUCAAUUGUCAGAGGUGAAAUUCUUGGAUUUAUUGAAGACUAACUACUGCGAAAGCAUUUGCCAAGGAUGUUUUCAUUAAUCAAGAACGAAAGUUAGGGGAUCGAAGACGAUCAGAUACCGUCGUAGUC
Molecule: ribosomal RNA, 450 nt
Filed under: uncultured Glomus
Lineage: Eukaryota; Fungi; Glomeromycota; Glomeromycetes; Glomerales; Glomeraceae
Description: SSU rRNA
Rfam family: Eukaryotic small subunit ribosomal RNA
Source: RNAcentral